This 74-nucleotide transfer RNA is filed under the name bacterium. Its description in RNAcentral is "tRNA-Thr". It matches the Rfam family "tRNA". Rfam says of the family: Transfer RNA (tRNA) molecules are approximately 80 nucleotides in length. Their secondary structure includes four short double-helical elements and three loops (D, anti-codon, and T loops). Further hydrogen bonds mediate the characteristic L-shaped molecular structure. tRNAs have two regions of fundamental functional importance: the anti-codon, which is responsible for specific mRNA codon recognition, and the 3' end, to which the tRNAs corresponding amino acid is attached (by aminoacyl-tRNA synthetases). tRNAs cope with the degeneracy of the genetic code in two manners: having more than one tRNA (with a specific anti-codon) for a particular amino acid; and 'wobble' base-pairing, i.e. permitting non-standard base-pairing at the 3rd anti-codon position. The record is from RNAcentral.
GCCGGGAUAGCUUAGCUGGUCAAAGCAACGGUUUUGUAAACCGUAGAGCGUCGGUUCGAAUCCGACUCCCGGCU